AGUGAGAGGCCAACAGACAAGCCAGUUGGCCUUGAGCUCCGGCUCACUAAUAAUAGCAUCAUCCAGGCCGGCUCAGAGCUGCGGGGACUGCAGGAUGACAUCACCCAGAUGGAAGCAGAAGGGAUGGGCAAACCGCAAGGUCCCAAGGGCUGAUGAACACUGGAAGCUGCUUGAGAAAACCCAGGCUGGAGUGCAGCAGUGCAAUCUCAGUUCACUACAACCUCUGCCUCCCAGGUUCAAGAGAUCCUCCCACCUCAACCUCUUGAGUAGCUGGGACUACCAGCAGGAAUUAGACAACAGAUUCCUGAGGAUUCUUUGUGGAGCAAUUCCAGGAGGAAGUAAGUCAGCAAGGGAGCUUGGGAAAGGCCGUGGCUGGAGAGUCAUGCAUCUGGCCCCUCUUGCCAUGACUGCCGAACGGGCACACCUGGAUGUGAUGUUUGCUGCACAGCCUCGGGCUCUUCCUCUGUAAGAUGCUCAUUGCUUUUAUCCCACUUGUCCUCUUUUUGCUGAGAAGGGUGGCCAGAGUGUGCUUUCACAGGGACUCAGGGAAGGGAGCAGGGAGGGAGUCAAAGCCAAUGAGGACUGUGGAUGGGAACAGCCAAUGCGAGAGCUGCAGAGCUGGACCCUGCAGCACAAGGGAG
RNAcentral lists this long non-coding RNA (641 nucleotides) under Callithrix jacchus (white-tufted-ear marmoset). RNAcentral describes it as "lncRNA (ENSCJAG00000086650.1)". Lineage: Eukaryota; Metazoa; Chordata; Mammalia; Primates; Cebidae. The record is from RNAcentral.